CCCAUUUUCUGUAAGAGCUGCAAGUGGCAAACAAGAUUUUGGCAGGGAAAUGUUCACUAUGAAAGCCUCUUCUCUACUUGGGUAUAAUUAAAACAGCCAAGGCUAUGUGACCCCUCUCAUCACACAACCAGGUUUGUGACUCUUGUUUUGGAGGCUGUCAGAAAGCAUCUUAACAAUUAAGUGCAUCUGGAUGGUCCCUGACUCCCUGUCCCAAGUCAGAGUUUCCUAAAGGGUCACAAGAGGAAGAGAAGAAACAAGAAUCUCUAGGGAGACUUAUUAAGAACGCAGCACAGACUCAUGCAUUUGAGAAGAAAUACUAGGGCUGCCAAUGUUUAAGAGCCAUAAAUGCAUUCCAAUUCAAGGAGGACUAAUUUAUAGAGCACUAAGUGGAUGCCAGGCUCAGCUGGGUAAGAUCUUUCUGAGGGCAGUCUCUAUCAUGCAGCUGGGAUCCUGGAAACUAAAGGGUUGAGAGAUUUGCAUGUGCUGAAUUAUCUUCCAAUCCCUCUAAACUUCAGACCACAGAAUGAGGACCAAAUAU
Molecule: long non-coding RNA, 538 nt
Filed under: Bos taurus (domestic cattle)
Lineage: Eukaryota; Metazoa; Chordata; Mammalia; Artiodactyla; Bovidae
Description: long non-coding RNA NONBTAT018872
Source: RNAcentral